UUAAAUGGUGAUGUCUUCUUUUGUGUCCUUCGUUUUUCAUCAUGGCACCACACCGAACCGCAUAACGACGGUUUGCUUUUCUGCCACGAAGCACGUCAAGCGCAAAGGCAGCAGGCGGCCAGCACUGACGUAGUACCACCCAAUUGGUUCAAGGCUGCGUCACUCAGGAGGGCUUUAUAGAGGAACUAUUUGUCCUCUUCGGAACAUAUUGUAAAAUGUAAAUAAACGUCCUAAGCAUAAACGACGCAUAAUUUAUUUAUGUUUUGCAGGUUAUUUGUCCAAUAUGGCCAAGAGCCAUUAGUCUAAAAUGAAAUGUUAUUUGUUUCUGCAGUCUAUAGAAUUAAAUAUGCUGCUCCCUCUAUAGCUAGGUGUAUAAUUUGCAAAAUAGAAAAAUCAACUUUCGGACUGAGGACAAAUGUACUUGGAGAAGAACGUGCAGGAAUAUGUGGAAAUCCUUCAAAACGCCAAGUGGUGAGGACGCCAUCACUGUACAGAUGGAGGAGAGGCCCGUGUUGCCCUCACCAAGUGUCAGCAUAUGAAAGCAGAGCUCCUUUUGCGUGACCUCUCCGACCAACAGCGACCCCUUGUGGAGGGCCGGUGAGAUGGCGGGAUGAGCGGGGGCAGAUGGAAGUAUGAGCGGGGUGGGCAGGCUGGGAUGACGGUAGAAAGUCAGAGAAGCUGCUGGAAAAAGGGAAGCCGUGAAGCCUGGAAGGAGGAGGCGAGGAGAAGCCAGGGAAAAAAUAAAAGGAGGCAGCAGUGAGGAGUAGGGAUUCUGCGAGCCCACAGCACGGCAGCCGGAUCAAUAACUAAUUUCAGUACUGGGCUGCACUCAGACUGUUUUCCAAUAAGCUCAGGACAUAACGAGUCAGCCUGGACAGCCCCGCCGCCCAUUCUCCUCCCUCCUCCCUCCUCUCUCCAUCCAUCUGCCCCCCCGCCAUGUUUUCUCCUUCUUUUUCAGGACUCGGGUAACCAAUGAUCAGGUUGCUAUAUAUGCAGACGACGGCUCUUAAUUGAUCUAGACCCUCUCGCUCCUGUUCCGUGCCUUUGGUAAGGUACCUCCAUGAGAAGGUGUGGAUUUAAACAGAAGUCAUUCUUUACGCGGGUUUCUGUCUCCGGGAGCCUGUCUCAUCCUGCCUGCAGAAUCUCGUCGGCUCGAGUCUCCUGUGCUGCUGGCGGGUGUCGUCCAGCAGCCCAGAACACAUGUGCAAGUGCAGCUCGCGUUAAGCCAAAAAAAAAUCCUUUAAAUGAGGGAGUUUCCCAUAAUCAGCACGCAGGACACGCAGAUGUGUGCCAGCUGAUGACCGUGAAAUUACCUGCGACAUUAAUGUGAAUUAAUGCAAUGUUGCUGUAAUGUUUUUCAGGGACAUACGAGUUAGUUGUUCGAGUGGUUCUUUGCCUGAAGGUUAGAGUGCUGUGUGCGUGCCUGUGUGUUUUUGGGUGUAUGUGCAUUUUUGGGUAUGUGUGUUUUUU
Paramormyrops kingsleyae is the source of this 1470-nucleotide long non-coding RNA. RefSeq lists it as uncharacterized. Lineage: Eukaryota; Metazoa; Chordata; Actinopteri; Osteoglossiformes; Mormyridae. The record is from RefSeq and is a predicted model, not a curated record.